This 403-nucleotide ribosomal RNA is filed under the name Limnonectes shompenorum (Shompen frog). Its description in RNAcentral is "partial 12S ribosomal RNA". Lineage: Eukaryota; Metazoa; Chordata; Amphibia; Anura; Dicroglossidae. The record is from RNAcentral.
AGAUCUGGUCCCUGUCUUAUUAUCAGCUCUUCCUAAACUUACACAUGCAAGUCUCAGCACACCCGUGAGGACGCCCUUUCUUCUACCCCAGAUUAAGGAGCUGGUAUCAGGCACAAAAAUUGCCCAUCACACCUAGUCCCGCCACACCCCCAAGGGUUCUCAGCAGUGAUAGAUAUUGUUCAUAAGCGACAGCUUGACCCAAUUAUUGGAAAAAGAGCUGGCCAACUCGGUGCCAGCCGCUGCGGCUAAACCGACGAGCUCAAGUUGAUAAACUAUCGGCGUUAAGCGUGAUUAAAGGACCUCCACAAUUAGAAUAAAACUUACACUUAGCUGUAAUAAACUUGCUGUAAGGAAACCCAAAAACGAAAGUUAUUCUAAUCAACUUGAAUCCACGACAGUCGGA